Molecule: ribosomal RNA, 1674 nt
Filed under: Campylobacter jejuni
Lineage: Bacteria; Pseudomonadati; Campylobacterota; Epsilonproteobacteria; Campylobacterales; Campylobacteraceae
Description: partial 23S ribosomal RNA
Rfam family: Bacterial large subunit ribosomal RNA
Source: RNAcentral
AGGUAAGCUACUAAGAGCGAAUGGUGGAUGCCUUGACUGGUAAAGGCGAUGAAGGACGUACUAGACUGCGAUAAGCUACGGGGAGCUGUCAAGAAGCUUUGAUCCGUAGAUUUCCGAAUGGGGCAACCCAAUGUAUAGAGAUAUACAUUACCUAUAUAGGAGCGAACGAGGGGAAUUGAAACAUCUUAGUACCCUCAGGAAAAGAAAUCAAUAGAGAUUGCGUCAGUAGCGGCGAGCGAAAGCGCAAGAGGGCAAACCCAGUGCUUGCACUGGGGGUUGUAGGACUGCAAUGUGCAAGAGGUAAGUUUAGCAGAACAUUCUGGAAAGUAUAACCAUAGAGGGUGAUAGUCCCGUAUGCGAAAAACAAACCUUAGCUAGCAGUAUCCUGAGUAGGGCGGGACACGAGGAAUCCUGUCUGAAUCUGGGUCGACCACGAUCCAACCCUAAAUACUAAUACCAGAUCGAUAGUGCACAAGUACCGUGAGGGAAAGGUGAAAAGAACUGAGGUGAUCAGAGUGAAAUAGAACCUGAAACCAUUUGCUUACAAUCAUUCAGAGCCCUAUGUAGCAAUACAGGGUGAUGGACUGCCUUUUGCAUAAUGAGCCUGCGAGUUGUGGUGUCUGGCAAGGUUAAGCAAACGCGAAGCCGUAGCGAAAGCGAGUCUGAAUAGGGCGCUUAGUCAGAUGCUGCAGACCCGAAACGAAGUGAUCUAUCCAUGAGCAAGUUGAAGCUAGUGUAAGAACUAGUGGAGGACUGAACCCAUAGGCGUUGAAAAGCCCCGGGAUGACUUGUGGAUAGGGGUGAAAGGCCAAUCAAACUUCGUGAUAGCUGGUUCUCUCCGAAAUAUAUUUAGGUAUAGCGUUGUGUCGUAAUAUAAGGGGGUAGAGCACUGAAUGGGCUAGGGCAUACACCAAUGUACCAAACCCUAUCAAACUCCGAAUACCUUAUAUGUAAUCACAGCAGUCAGGCGGCGAGUGAUAAAAUCCGUCGUCAAGAGGGAAACAACCCAGACUACCAGCUAAGGUCCCUAAAUCUUACUUAAGUGGAAAACGAUGUGAAGUUACUUAAACAACCAGGAGGUUGGCUUAGAAGCAGCCAUCCUUUAAAGAAAGCGUAAUAGCUCACUGGUCUAGUGAUUUUGCGCGGAAAAUAUAACGGGGCUAAAGUAAGUACCGAAGCUGUAGACUUAGUUUACUAAGUGGUAGGAGAGCGUUCUAUUUGCGUCGAAGGUAUACCGGUAAGGAGUGCUGGAGCGAAUAGAAGUGAGCAUGCAGGCAUGAGUAGCGAUAAUUAAUGUGAGAAUCAUUAACGCCGUAAACCCAAGGUUUCCUACGCGAUGCUCGUCAUCGUAGGGUUAGUCGGGUCCUAAGUCGAGUCCGAAAGGGGUAGACGAUGGCAAAUUGGUUAAUAUUCCAAUACCAACAUUAGUGUGCGAUGGAAGGACGCUUAGGGCUAAGGGGGCUAGCGGAUGGAAGUGCUAGUCUAAGGUCGUAGGAGGUUAUACAGGCAAAUCCGUAUAACAAUACUCCGAGAACUGAAAGGCUUUUUGAAGUCUUCGGAUGGAUAGAAGAACCCCUGAUGCCGUCGAGCCAAGAAAAGUUUCUAAGUUUAGCUAAUGUUGCCCGUACCGUAAACCGACACAGGUGGGUGGGAUGAGUAUUCUAAGGCGCGUGG